This 230-nucleotide ribosomal RNA is filed under the name uncultured bacterium. RNAcentral's name for it is "partial 16S ribosomal RNA". It matches the Rfam family "Bacterial small subunit ribosomal RNA", at positions 562 to 791 of the family's 1533-position model. The record is from RNAcentral.
AAAGCGUGCGCAGGCGGCUUUGCAAGACAGAGGUGAAAUCCCCGGGCUCAACCUGGGAACUGCCUUUGUGACUGCAAGGCUAGAGUACGGCAGAGGGGGAUGGAAUUCCGCGUGUAGCAGUGAAAUGCGUAGAUAUGCGGAGGAACACCAAUGGCGAAGGCAAUCCCCUGGGCCUGUACUGACGCUCAUGCACGAAAGCGUGGGGAGCAAACAGGAUUAGAUACCCUAGU